This 1406-nucleotide long non-coding RNA is filed under the name Panax ginseng (ginseng). RNAcentral describes it as "long non-coding RNA (PGIN_LNC002331)". Lineage: Eukaryota; Viridiplantae; Streptophyta; Magnoliopsida; Apiales; Araliaceae. The record is from RNAcentral.
GGAUCGGAAUAAACAUACCUGAAGGGGCAGCAGAGGAAUCGGGAGGUAACGAUACGGAUGUUGUCGACGGCCAUGACCGACCUCUACCUCCUCCGACGGAAGUGCUCUCUCUAUUCAGACGGGACGCUAGGUAAGGGAGAGAAGAAAAGAUUAGGGAGGGUUUCGCCAAAUUUCAGAGAGAAGAUAGAGAAUUGGGUGGGAUAGCAUGUAAGGGAGAGAACAAAAGAUUAGAGAGGAUUAGAGUGUAGGUGAAGGGUGAGUUUGGGCGGGAUUUUUUUUAUCCUAAGAUGGAGUAUGAGCCAUUAGAUUAAGUGAGAUAAAAUCACAGCCGUUCUUGUGCUUUCUCAACUUUUGAAGUGGAAAAAGAUUCAAAUUUGGUUGUGUUUUAUUAUAUAGAUAUAAAAUUGCCUUUCAAGAUUAAAUAGGCUAACUGCCCUAUUACAAGCAGUAUUUUAAAAAUUCUUCUAGGUCUGCCAAGGCAGAAUUGAUCCUCAGCCUCGAUUAGACCCUAGUCGUUUACGUUGAAACUUAAUUACUUUCAACUUUUUAUUUUAAAAAUUAUUAAUUGCAGUCCUUGACCUUGACAUUGUAUUUUCUUAUUGUUUUCUGAUGUAUGCUGGUUUUGUUUAUUUUUGUCUGAAGUCUUGGUAUAUCAUCAUUUUUGCAGAAUUCUGGAUCCAAAUCUGUGAGCAACAUGGCAAAUUUCCAAGCUGCCUGGAAGUAUCUUCCUGGUGCUUCACUUUUAGAAACCUCGAAAUUCGAAAGAAGCAAACAUGUGUAAAUAACUCAAAUUCAAAUCUGUAGGAGUACUGCCAAGCUUUUUGAGCAAGUAGAUUUGCAAAAUAGUGUUGUUUAUUUUCUUUAUUGGCCAAUUUGAUUAGUAUUGUCUACAUAACUAUCUUUAUCUUUCGGGGAAAAAAAACAAAAACAAUUGUGUAUGUUUUAUAUAUUGUAGCACUAUACUUUCUCAUCUUCUUAAGGAAUUGUUUUACGUAGUGCAAGAGAAAGAAAGUAGAAUAUGGUAACUAGAAUAUAUUUAUUUUCAGAUUGGUCAGAUAUAAAUUCAAGUACUUAUGCUGUAGUUGGACAGGACUAAAUGUGCUGGCCGGAGUUGGGCUUCUUUCUACUACACCUAAUAAACGUUGUGUAAGGUGUUAAUAGACAAUAUUUUUUACAAAAUAAACGUUGUUGCUUGUUAAAGUAGAAAUUCAAAAAUGUUGUAUAUAUGAAUUUAUUACAACGUUUUUUUAGUAAAAAACGUUGUGGAAUUAAACUAUCUACAACGUUUUUGCACAUCCAAGACUUUAUGGAAAACAAAUAGACAAUGCAUCCAAAACUUCUUAAACUAAUGUAGAGGUACUGCCGUCUGAUAGGUUAAACAUCAAAUUAUAAUACUAACACAUUAU